RNAcentral lists this long non-coding RNA (1392 nucleotides) under Fragaria vesca (wild strawberry). Its description in RNAcentral is "long non-coding RNA (FVES_LNC002095)". Lineage: Eukaryota; Viridiplantae; Streptophyta; Magnoliopsida; Rosales; Rosaceae. The record is from RNAcentral.
CUUAAUUAACUUGAAUUCUGAGAUCCCGCAGCUCUCAGUUGAUGAACAUUACCAGUUGGAUUUAAUUUAACAACGAUCGACCUUACAUAUCAUAUAUUAAUAGCCCUAUAUAUUGCAGGAAAUCGGGAAAAAAAGAAAAGAAGAAGUUACAAUCUAGGAAAUUAUCAUUACAUGAAACAAGAUGGAGACUAAUUAAUUAAUAUGCGCAUGGUGAUUAACACGUACUAAUUUCACAGCUUGUAAAUCUUGGAAAUCGCUUGCAAAACAUCGACCUGGAACUUCAAAUGCAUUAUGUAAUCCGCCGUGUGCCGAAACAGCGUCUCCGCCUCCAGCCCUCUCCCUCCCGGAAUCAGCAUUUGCAGCUUCCUCACCUUCACUCUCACCGUCGUCGUCGUCCUCCUCCCUCCACCGCCAACACGACGUCGUCUUCCCCCCACCGCACUCCUCCUCCUCGACCUCAUGAUCUUCGAACACCCGAACGAACUCAUUCUCAGAAUCCAACACCUGCUCUAUAUUUAUUACUGCACAAGUCAAAGAACAAUGAAGACGAAGAAGAAGAAGGAAGCUAGUGUGUGGAAGAGUGAACGAUGAGGAGGAAGAGAAGGAGGAGGAGGGGGUAUAAAAGAAGGGAAGCUAAGCUAAGGUGAAGCUAGAGGUAGGCAAGUAUUAUAUAUAUAUAGCACCCUACAAUGCUAGGGCGACGGGGGCCAUGUGAGCCGAGCCAUUGCCUCUCCAAAUCAACAUCUCCUACUCCUCCGAUGGAGUCCUCCAAUAAUUCUAGCUCCCAUAAUAAGGCCACAAAGCACACCAUUGAAUUUGCCUCACGAGCACAGUUUCGUUGUCGUUUUGCAAUAUGGGGCACGGCUGCGGGUUCCCACCCCCCACUCCCAUUUGCUUAGACUUGCCAAGACCCACCCACGUGUCUGACAGCUCGAUCUCUCUAAACCCUAGUCUUCUUCUCGCACGGUCUCAUCUACGCAAGCCAUUAUCACCUGCUUCCUUCUCGUUCUAGUUCUAGUUCUAGUUCUGUCUCUGCUUCGCUAUUGCUUCUAUUUAGUUACCAUGUCCCCGUCGGUCCCUUAUUCCCAAAUCCCGGCAGUGUACUUCCCGAUACUUGUCCGAUCUCAUUCUCUACGUUAGCUACAAACUUAUCACGAUCGAAUAUAUCACUUUGUCUCCAACUUACCAAUCGCGUAUAGGGAUGUGCAAGACAAUGUGCGUGCUUAAAUGAGUAUCGAGUUUGAUGAUGUGAUUAGUGGAUCGGACGUGUCAUUCUAGAUACCGAAAUUUGAGCUCACAUACUUUCUUAUACGGUAAUUGUUUUAGUGAACAUUUUAAAUGUAAGGUAUUAAAUGGCUGAGGCAGUUGCCACGAGCACUACAUCUUGUGUAU